GCCCUCAACGGGUGCAGGUCCGCGGCCGGACGGUAGAGGCCUCCCUUCCGAGGACUUGGCGCUGGGGCGUGCGCGGGUCUGCGGGCUGGGGCUCUGCUUCCCGGCGCGAGCCCGCGCGUGGUUCCUCGCGAAGUCCCCGCGCGGCCGGGCCCAGCGUGAGUAUUCUCCGCCCGCUGUCCUCCCCUUCAGGCGGCAGCGCUCGUUUAUUUGAGGCUUCUAAUGUGAGGAAAAACACGGAAUGACAAGUGUGGGAAAGAGCAAGCACUAAAUUACUGUCAGAAAAAUAAACGGAGUAGCACAGUGGUGCUCGGUGAUUUACGGGGGCAAUUAGUCACCACCCCACCGCGCUGCUGAGGACAGCAUGGCAGCAGAUGAGUCAGGUCCACGAGGAAGAAGAGGCUUUGCGCUGCUCUCCAGACAACUUUUCAAACAACAAGAGAGGAUAUUUGAGCACAUUAGGUUGCCUGUCUUCAUUCUGGGUGCCUACUUUUCACAUUAUUCUACCAACUUAAUACAUAAAAUGAAUUUUUAGUACAAUAUGAACCUGUUCUGUGUGUGUUUAAAAGCCUCCAAUGGCAACUUUUUUCUCUCCCACUGUCCAAAGUGGGGUUUUCCCCAUCCCUUAAAAAACAAAACAAAAAAAACCUUUCUUCACUCCCAAAUUGUCCCCCUGGUGUGUUCCUUUGCUCUGUCUUGUUACGUCUUGCAUCUUGCUACAUGUUCUGCAUUUGCUCAGAGCAAGUGGGUGCUAAGGAAUUUGGUCUGCUGCUCCUCUGGGAAAGUCUGGUGAGCUGUUAUAAGGAGGUGAUGAACAAGGCUGUAAACCACAGGAUAAAUGAAAACGAUACAUAAACUUCCUAAUAUUUGUAAACAUGUUCUUUAACAUACCAUAGGUAGUUUCUGUGUAUAUGUAGCAUAGCAAAAGAAACUUGUUAAGGUAUAAUUAAUUGGUAUGCAUGCCUUUGUAAAUAUCAGCCAUCAGAAGAAACCUAGAAUGAAAGGCUGUGAAAGAUCCCAGGAAUGAUACUUUAUUGAUUAAAGGCCAUGAAGCUUCAUCAGGAGUUUAGUUAUCCUUACGUAGCAUUACUUAAGAAUGCUGCCAUAGUAAAUUUCUGAAGCACUUUACCUGUUACAAAGAACGAUUGUAAUUUCCUUUUCUUAUUUGAUCUUACCCUGGCUUUAGUCAGGAACACCUGCUCGGUUAGAAAUGUAUUUGGUGAGUAUGUACACAGUUGGAGAAUAUGCCCUGACACACGCCGCCUUUGGCCUGUAUGCUGGAGUCCUAAAGAGGCAGACCAUGUUGAUGAGCUUGGUGCCAGCAUGGUGCACCAUUCAUCCUGACACGUAAUUUCUGAUAAAGAGGGUCACAACUGGGAAAUACCUCAGAUUCUACUUGCUUCUCUUCUCCACAUUAUUAGACAUUUUCCCCCUCUUGAAUUUUAUAAGCACACUCCUUUUAAAACCCAAUUAAUAAUGAGUGCUGGGAUUUGAUGUAAAAUUGCAUAUUUGUAACUGCAGUGGCACUGGUUUUCAGCUACUCUGUAACAAGGAAAGCAAUCCUAACCAGCAAAAGCAGACUUGUUUCUGUGAAACAUCACAGGCAUGUGAAAUUGUUCAGAUAUGGAGAUAUCAGGAGUGACAUAAAUUGGAAAUUUAACCAAAAAUCUUUUCCAUCAGUGAACAAAGUCUAUCUUAAAGUGCUUCUUGCAUUUUCAGAUCUUUCUCUUCCUUUUUCCCAAAGUCACAUUAUAGUUUCUGAGGAGGGACACACUGGGAAAACUAAGCACAUAUUUAAACAAUGAAAUUUAAGGUGUAAAAAUUCUGCAUUUGUGACAAAUUUGAUGUUUGCUCUUUUCUUGAUUUAAAUAGAGCAUUCUAAAAAUAUUACCCCUAUAGGAGACACAUUUUUAUAUGCAUGUUAUUUUUGUUUACAAAGUAUGGGCUAGUAAAGAGUGAAAAUGACCUUGGCUAUUGUACUUAUUUAUUGAUAGAAAUAAUAGCAUCUUCAUGUCUGGAUUCAAAUCUCUACUUAUCACACAACUUCCAUACAUUUCAAAGAGAAGACUUGGAUUGAAUGAUAACAGGAGUCUGGGGCUUCCUGCAUUCCCCUGUGUUUGUGUUCAUACAGAAUAUGCAAUAUUCUGACUUGGCCAUAAUCUAUAAUUCCUGGCUGUUAUUCUCAGUUGCAACUAUAAAUUCUAGAUUAAUGGUUAUAAUUUUGGUAAGGCAUAAAUUAAAAGUUAUAUGUUCAUGCUUGAAAGGAAGAUCAUUAAAUAUUCAUUAUUACCACUCAAA
Molecule: long non-coding RNA, 2295 nt
Organism: Cebus imitator (Panamanian white-faced capuchin)
Lineage: Eukaryota; Metazoa; Chordata; Mammalia; Primates; Cebidae
Exons: 2
Source: RefSeq, a predicted model, not a curated record